GCAACUCGCCUGCAUGAAGUCGGAAUUGCUAGUAAUCGUAGGUCAGCAUACUACGGUGAAUACGUUCCCGGGCCUUGUACACACCGCCCGUCAAACCAUGAGAGUUGGCAACACCCGAAGUCGGUAGUCUAACCGCAAGGAGGACGCCGCCGAAGGUGGGGUUGAUGAUUAGGGUUAAGUCGUAACAAGGUACC
This 194-nucleotide ribosomal RNA is filed under the name uncultured bacterium. RNAcentral describes it as "partial 16S ribosomal RNA". It matches the Rfam family "Bacterial small subunit ribosomal RNA", at positions 1307 to 1500 of the family's 1533-position model. The record is from RNAcentral.